Molecule: ribosomal RNA, 328 nt
Filed under: uncultured eukaryote
Lineage: Eukaryota
Description: partial 18S ribosomal RNA
Rfam family: Eukaryotic small subunit ribosomal RNA
Source: RNAcentral
CCCUUAGAUGUCCUGGGCCGCACGCGCGUUACACUGAUGCAUUCAACGAGCUUAUAACCUUGGCCGAGAGGCCUGGGCAAUCUUGUUAACGUGCAUCGUGAUAGGGAUAGAUUAUUGAAAUUAUUAAUCUUGAACGAGGAAUUCCUAGUAAACGCAGAUCAUCAAUCUGCAUUGAUUACGUCCCUGCCCUUUGUACACACCGCCCGCCGCACCUACCGAUUGGAUGGUCCGGUGAAGCCUCGGGAUUGUGGUUCUUGCCGCUUUGUUGUGGCGUGACCGCGAGAACUUGUCUAAACCUUAUCAUCUAGAGGAAGGUGAAGUCGUAACA